RNAcentral lists this long non-coding RNA (380 nucleotides) under Nicotiana benthamiana. RNAcentral's name for it is "long non-coding RNA (NBEN_LNC019565)". The record is from RNAcentral. Lineage: Eukaryota; Viridiplantae; Streptophyta; Magnoliopsida; Solanales; Solanaceae.
ACUCCCCACUCUUGCUCGACUUAUCCACUCAAAUGAUGAAGAAGUCCUGACAGAUGCAUGCUGGGCUCUAUCAUAUCUUUCUGAUGGAACUAAUGACAAAAUCCAGGCUGUUAUUGAAGGUGGAGUGUGUCCCCGCCUUGUUGAGCUGCUACUGUGAGUCAUAGAUCUUACUUUUUUGGGGUUUGUUUCGGGCUUUCGUUGUGCCAAAAUCAUAUCUUCUGAUGCUCUGCAUUGUCUUGACUGGAGUGUGUCCCCGCCUUAUUGAGCUGCUACUGUGAGUCAUAGAUCUUACUUUUUUGGGGUUUGUUUCGGGCUCUCAUUGUGCCAAAAUCAUUUCUGAUGCUCUGCAUUGUCGUCAUCUUCUUUUUGUGUGUAGUCAU